Long non-coding RNA from Rosa chinensis, 234 nucleotides. RefSeq lists it as uncharacterized. Lineage: Eukaryota; Viridiplantae; Streptophyta; Magnoliopsida; Rosales; Rosaceae. The record is from RefSeq and is a predicted model, not a curated record. The transcript has 3 exons.
CCUUUCUAUACUCGACGGUGACGGACUAACGGUGUCGAAUGGCCUUGAAGUCUCGAACUUGGUUGCUCUCUUCCUCAAGCAGCAAAGCAGAAAGCCAGAAACUGUUGGUUACACUCUGGAUUCGGUUUCUGGGUUUUCACUUACAUUCUUGGUUUCACUCUUCAAGCUUGGUUAGUUGCUGAAAUCAAGCUUGCUUGAGGCCGUCAUCUCAAAAAGUUUUAUCGCUAGUUGCUG